Molecule: ribosomal RNA, 492 nt
Filed under: uncultured bacterium
Lineage: Bacteria
Description: partial 16S ribosomal RNA
Rfam family: Bacterial small subunit ribosomal RNA
Source: RNAcentral
AGUGAACGCUGGCGGUAGGCCUAACACAUGCAAGUCGAACGGCAGCACAGUAAGAGCUUGCUCUUACGGGUGGCGAGUGGCGGACGGGUGAGGAAUACAUCGGAAUCUACUUUUUCGUGGGGGAUAACGUAGGGAAACUUACGCUAAUACCGCAUACGACCUACGGGUGAAAGCAGGGGAUCUUCGGACCUUGCGCGAUUGAAUGAGCCGAUGUCGGAUUAGCUAGUUGGCGGGGUAAAGGCCCACCAAGGCGACGAUCCGUAGCUGGUCUGAGAGGAUGAUCAGCCACACUGGAACGGAGACACGGUCCAGACUCCUACGGGAGGCAGCAGUGGGGAAUAUUGGACAAUGGGCGCAAGCCUGAUCCAGCCAUACCGCGUGGGUGAAGAAGGCCUUCGGGUUGUAAAGCCCUUUUGUUGGGAAAGAAAAGCAGCAGGUUAAUACCCCGCUGUUCCGACGGUACCCAAAGAAUAAGCACCGGCUAACUUCGUG